Molecule: non-coding RNA, 174 nt
Filed under: human gut metagenome
Also listed under: 1 other name
Source: RNAcentral
ACGGUUCCGUAUAGGAUUAAAAGGGAACCGGGUGAGAGUCCCGGACAGUUCCCGCUGCUGUGAGUUCCAAUGAUGUUCCGGCACUUUUGCCACUGAUGCCCUGGGAGAUAGACCGUCUGCCGGGAUUCGGGAAGGCGUCCGGAACGGAACGAGUCAGAAGACCUGCCUUGCGAC